RNAcentral lists this ribosomal RNA (369 nucleotides) under uncultured bacterium. RNAcentral describes it as "bacterial SSU rRNA". It matches the Rfam family "Bacterial small subunit ribosomal RNA", at positions 525 to 896 of the family's 1533-position model. The record is from RNAcentral.
ACGUAGGAUCCGAGCGUUGUCCGGAAUUACUGGGUGUAAAGGGCGUGUAGGUGGAGCUUUAAGUCGGUGGUGAAAGCCUGCAGCUCAACUGCAGAAUUGCCCUCGAUACUGAGGCUCUUGAGUACGGCAGAGGGAGAUGGAAUUCAUGGUGUAGCGGUGAAAUGUGUAGAUAUCAUGAAGAACACCGGUAGCGAAGGCGGUCUCCUGGUCCGUAACUGACACUGAGGCGCGAAAGCGUGGGGAGCAAACAGGAUUAGAUACCCUGGUAGUCCACGCCUUAAACGAUGAAUACUAGGUGCUGGGCCGUAAGGUUCAGUGCCAAAGCUAACGCAUUAAGUAUUCCACCUGGGGAGUACGAUCGCAAGGUUG